AUUGCCCUAGUAACGGCGAGUGAAGCGGCAACAGCUCAAAUUUGAAAUCUGGCUCUCUUUGGGGGUCCGAGUUGUAAUUUGCAGAGGAUGCUUUGGCAUUGGCGGCGGUCUAAGUUCCUUGGAACAGGACAUCACAGAGGGUGAGAAUCCCGUACGUGGUCGCCUGCCUUUGCCGUGUAAAGCUCCUUCGACGAGUCGAGUUGUUUGGGAAUGCAGCUCUAAAUGGGAGGUAAAUUUCUUCUAAAGCUAAAUACUGGCCAGAGACCGAUAGCGCACAAGUAGAGUGAUCGAAAGAUGAAAAGUACUUUGGAAAGAGAGUCAAAAAGCACGUGAAAUUGUUGAAAGGGAAGCGCUUGCAGCCAGACUUGCCCGCAGUUGCUCACCUAGGCUUUCGCCUGGGGCACUCUUCUGCGGGCAGGCCAGCAUCAGUUUGGGCGGUUGGAUAAAGGCCUCUGUCACGUAUCUCCCUUCGGGGUGACCUUAUAGGGGAGGCGCAAUGCAACCAGCCCGGACUGAGGUCCGCGCAUCUGCUAGGAUGCUGGCGUAAUGGCUGUAAGCGGCCCGUCUUGAAACACGGACCAAGGAGUCUAACAUCUAUGCGAGUGUUUGGGUGUCAAGCCCGAGCGCGCAAUGAAAGUGAACGGAGGUGGGAACCCUUUGGGUGCACCAUCGACCGAUCCUGAUGUCUUCGGAUGGAUUUGAGUAAGAGCAUAGCUGUUGGGACCCGAAAGAUGGUGAACUAUGCUUGAAUAGGGUGAAGCCAGAGGAAACUCUGGUGGAGGCUCGCAGCGGUUCUGACGUGCAAAUCGAUCGUCAAAUUUGGGCAUAGGGGCGAAAGACUAAUCGAACCAU
This 852-nucleotide ribosomal RNA is filed under the name Paraphaeosphaeria rosae. RNAcentral's name for it is "eukaryotic LSU rRNA". It matches the Rfam family "Eukaryotic large subunit ribosomal RNA", at positions 74 to 943 of the family's 3401-position model. RNAcentral also lists the same sequence under 1 other name. The record is from RNAcentral. Lineage: Eukaryota; Fungi; Ascomycota; Dothideomycetes; Pleosporales; Didymosphaeriaceae.